CCCUUAGAUGUUCUGGGCCGCACGCGCGCUACACUGAUGCAUUCAACGAGUUUCUUCCUGGUCCGAGAGGAAUGGGUAACCUUUUGAAAGUGCAUCGUGAUAGGGAUAGACUAUUGCAAUUAUUGGUCUUCAACGAGGAAUUCCUAGUAGACGUAGUUCAUCAGACUGCAUCGAUUACGUCCCUGCCCUUUGUACACACCGCCCGUCGCACCUACCGAUUGAAUGGUCCGGUGAAGCCUCGGGAUUGUGGUUGGUUUCCUUUAUUGGAGAUUGAUUGCGAGAACUUGUCUAAACCUUAUCAUUUAGAGGAAGGUGAAGUCGUAACA
This 326-nucleotide ribosomal RNA is filed under the name uncultured eukaryote. RNAcentral describes it as "partial 18S ribosomal RNA". It matches the Rfam family "Eukaryotic small subunit ribosomal RNA", at positions 1470 to 1796 of the family's 1831-position model. The record is from RNAcentral.